GGAAGCUACAUGCCGCCUACCGACCUC
This 27-nucleotide non-coding RNA is filed under the name Homo sapiens (human). Lineage: Eukaryota; Metazoa; Chordata; Mammalia; Primates; Hominidae. The record is from RNAcentral.